RNAcentral lists this ribosomal RNA (253 nucleotides) under uncultured bacterium. RNAcentral describes it as "partial 16S ribosomal RNA". It matches the Rfam family "Bacterial small subunit ribosomal RNA", at positions 524 to 776 of the family's 1533-position model. The record is from RNAcentral.
UACGAAGGGUGCAAGCGUUACUCGGAAUUACUGGGCGUAAAGCGUGCGUAGGCGGUUUGUUAAGUCUGUCGUGAAAGCCCCGAGCUCAGCCUGGGAAUGGCGAUGGAAACUGGCGAGCUAGAGUACGGUAGAGGGUGGUGGAAUUCCCGGUGUAGCAGUGAAAUGCGUAGAGAUCGGGAGGAACAUCUGUGGCGAAGGCGGCCACCUGGACCAGCACUGACACUGAGGCACGAAAGCGUGGGGAGCAAACAGG